RNAcentral lists this ribosomal RNA (450 nucleotides) under uncultured bacterium. RNAcentral describes it as "partial 16S ribosomal RNA". It matches the Rfam family "Bacterial small subunit ribosomal RNA", at positions 354 to 796 of the family's 1533-position model. The record is from RNAcentral.
GUGGGGAAUAUUGCACAAUGGGCGCAAGCCUGAUGCAGCCAUGCCGCGUGUGUGAAGAAGGCCUUCGGGUUGUAAAGCACUUUCAGCGGGGAGGAAGGCGGUGAGGUUAAUAACCUCAUCGAUUGACGUUACCCGCAGAAGAAGCACCGGCUAACUCCGUGCCAGCAGCCGCGGUAAUACGGAGGGUGCAAGCGUUAAUCGGAAUUACUGGGCGUAAAGCGCACGCAGGCGGUCUGUCAAGUCGGAUGUGAAAUCCCCGGGCUUAACCUGGGAACUGCAUUCGAAACUGGCAGGCUAGAGUCUUGUAGAGGGGGGUAGAAUUCCAGGUGUAGCGGUGAAAUGCGUAGAGAUCUGGAGGAAUACCGGUGGCGAAGGCGGCCCCCUGGACAAAGACUGACGCUCAGGUGCGAAAGCGUGGGGAGCAAACAGGAUUAGAAACCCCGGUAGUCC